AAGUCGUAACAAGGUUUCCGUAGGUGAACCUGCGGAAGGAUCAUUAGUGAAAAAAUAGGACUGGCGCAAGCCUUUCCGACCCUUCACAUCCACAUACACCUGUGCACCGGCGAUGGUUAACGCCUCGCCAUUUUACAUACUCCAUGUCAAUGAAUGUCAUAACGUAAUGCCUCACGGCAGAACCAAAACAAAACUUUCAACAACGGAUCUCUUGGCUCUC
RNAcentral lists this unclassified non-coding RNA (220 nucleotides) under fungal sp. RNAcentral describes it as "partial internal transcribed spacer region". The stretch from base 1 to 46 matches the Rfam family "Eukaryotic small subunit ribosomal RNA", at positions 1786 to 1831 of the family's 1831-position model. Lineage: Eukaryota; Fungi. RNAcentral also lists the same sequence under 1 other name. The record is from RNAcentral.